Molecule: ribosomal RNA, 253 nt
Filed under: uncultured bacterium
Lineage: Bacteria
Description: partial 16S ribosomal RNA
Rfam family: Bacterial small subunit ribosomal RNA
Source: RNAcentral
GACGAACCGGGCAAACGUUAUUCGGAAUCACUGGGCUUAAAGGGUGCGUAGGCGGCCCUGUAAGUUGGGUGUGAAAUCCCUCGGCUCAACCGAGGAAUUGCGCUCAAAACUACAGGGCUUGAGGGAGACAGAGGUGAGCGGAACUGAUGGUGGAGCGGUGAAAUGCGUUGAUAUCAUCAGGAACACCAGUGGCGAAGGCGGCUCACUGGGUCUUUUCUGACGCUGAGGCGCGAAAGAUAGGGGAGCAAACAGG